CCCAAGACCCCCCAGCGGAAAAAUGGCCAAAAAACGGUGGGCUAUAGCCUUGGUGGGGGGCGUGGGCGAAGUUCGUCCGUGGGACUCGGAAUGGCACCAGACUUGGCGGGCGGCCUCCGUGUGCCAAAAAUAGGCCACGGGCACAGCCGCGCCCAAAAAACAACCCCCGAAGUUCGGGGUCCCAAGACCCCCCAGCGGAAAAAUGGCCAAAAAACGGGUGGGCUAUAGCCUUGGUGGGGGGCGUGGGCGAAGUUCGUCCGCGGGACUCGGAAUGGCACCAGACUUGGCGGGCGGCCUCCGUGUGCCAAAAAUAGGCCACGGGCACAGCCGCGUCCAAAAAACAGCCCCCGAAGUUCGGGGUCCCAAGACACCCCAGCGGAAAAAUGGCCAAAAAACGGUGGGCUAUAGCCUUGGUGGGGGGCGUGGGCGAAGUUCGUCCGCGGGACUCGGAAUGGCACCAGACUUGGCGGGCGGCCUCCGUGUGCCGAAAAUAGGCCACGGGCACAGCCGCGCCCAAAAAACAACCCCCGAAGUUCGGGGUCCCAAGACCCCCCAGCGGAAAAAUGGCCAAAAAACGGUGGGCUAUAGCCUUGGUGGGGGGCGUGGGCGAAGUUCGUCCAUGGGACUCGGAAUGGCACCAGAGUUGGCGGGCGGCCUCCGUGUGCCAAAAAUAGGCCACGGGCACAGCCGCGCCCAAAAAACAGCCCCCGAAGUUCGGGGUCCCAAGACCCCCCAGCGGAAAAAUGGCCAAAAAACGGGUGGGCUAUAGCCUUGUUGGGGGGCGUGGGUGAAGUUCGUCCGCAGGACUCGGAAUGGCACCAGACUUGGCGGGCGGCCUCCGUGUGCCAAAAAUAGGCCACGGGCACAGCCGCGCCCAAAAAACAGCCCCCGAAGUUCGGGGUCCCAAGACCCCCCAGCGGAAAAAUGGCCAAAAAACGGGUGGGCUAUAGCCUUGUAGGGGGCGUGGGUGAAGUUCGUCCGCAGGACUCGGAAUGGCACCAGACUUGGCGGGCGGCCUCCGUGUGCCAAAAAUAGGCCACUGGCACAGCCGCGCCCAAAAAACAGCCCCCGAAGUUCGGGGUCCCAAGACCCCCCAGCGGAAAAAUGGCCAAAAAACGGUGGGCUAUAGCCUUGGUGGGGGGCGUGGGCGAAGUUCGUCCGUGGGACUCGGAAUGGCACCAGACUUGGCGGGCGGCCUCCGUGUGCCAAAAAUAGGCCACCGGCACAGCCGCGCCGAAAAAACAACCCCCGAAGUUCGGGGUCCCAAGACCCCCCAGCGGAAAAAUGGCCAAAAAACGGUGGGCUAAAGCCUUGGUGGGGUGCGUGGGCGAAGUUCGUCCGCGGGACUCGGAAUGGCACCAGACUUGGCGGGCGGCCUCCGUGUGCCAAAAAUAAACCACGGGCACAGCCGCGCCCAAAAAAUAGCCCCCGAAGUUUGGGUCCCAAGACCCCCCAGCGGAAAAACGGCCAAAAAACGGGUGGGCUAUAGCCUUGGUGGGGGGCGUGGGCGAAGUUCGUCCGCGGGACUCGGAAUGGCACCAGACUUGGCGGGCGGCCUCCGUGUGCCAAAAAUAGGCCACGGGCCCAGCCGCGCCCAAAAAACAGCCCCCGAAGUUCGGGGUCCCAAGACCCCCCAGCGGAAAAAUGGCCAAAAAACGGUGGGCUAUAGCCUUGGUCGGGGGCGUGGGCGAAGUUCGUCCGUGGGACUCGGAAUGGCACCAGACUUGGCGGGCGGCCUCCGUGUGCACAAUAAAUAAGGCCACGGGCACAAUCCGCGCCCAAAAAACAAGCCCCCGAAGUUCGGGGUCCCAAGACCCCCCAGCUGGAAAAAUGGCGCAAAAAACGGGUGGGCUAUAGCCUUGGUGGGGGGCGUGGGCGAAGUUUGUCCGCGGGACUCGGAAUGGGCACCAGAUUUGGCGGGUGGCCUCCGUGUGCCAAAAAUAGUCCACGGGCACAGCCGCGUCCAAAAAACAGCCCCCGAAGUUGGGGGUCCCAAGACACCCCAGCGGAAAAAUGGCCAAAAAACGGUGGGUUAUAGCCUUGGUGGGGGGCGUGGGCGAAGUUCGUCCGCGGGACUCGGAAUGGCACCAGACUUGGCGGGCGGCCUCCGUGUGCCGAAAAUAGGCCACGGGCACAGCCGCGCCCAAAAAACAACCCCCGAAGUUCGGGGUCCCAAGACCCCCCAGCGGAAAAAUGGCCAAAAAACGGUGGGCUAUAGCCUUGGUGGGGGGCGUGGGCGAAGUUCGUCCAUGGGACUCGGAAUGGCACCAGAGUUGGCGGGCGGCCUCCGUGUGCCAAAAAUAGGCCACGGGCACAGCCGCGCCCAAAAAACAGCCCCCGAAGUUCGGGGUCCCAAGACCCCCCAGCGGAAAAAUGGCCAAAAAACGGGUGGGCUAUAGCCUUGUUGGGGGGCGUGGAUGAAGUUCGUCCGCAGGACUCGGAAUGGCACCAGACUUGGCGGGCGGCCUCCGUGUGCCAAAAAUAGGCCACGGGCACAGCCGCGCCCAAAAAACAGCCCCCGAAGUUCGGGGUCCCAAGACCCCCCAGCGGAAAAAUGGCCAAAAAACGGGUGGGCUAUAGCCUUGUUGGGGGGCGUGGGUGAAGUUCGUCCGCAGGACUCGGAAUGGCACCAGACUUGGCGGGCGGCCUCCGUGUGCCAAAAAUAAGCCACGGGCACAGCCGCGCCCAAAAAACAGCCCCCGAAGUUCGGGGUCCCAAGACCCCCCAGCGGAAAAAUGGCCAAAAAACGGGUGGGCUAUAGCCUUGUUGGGGGGCGUGGGUGAAGUUCGUCCGCAGGACUCGGAAUGGCACCAGACUUGGCGGGCGGCCUCCGUGUGCCAAAAAUAGGCCACGGGCACAGCCGCGCCCAAAAAACAGCCCCCGAAGUUCGGGGUCCCAAGACCCCCCAGCGGAAAAAUGGCCAAAAAACGGUGGGCUAUAGCCUUGGUGGGGGGCGUGGGCGAAGUUCGUCCGUGGGACUCGGAAUGGCACCAGACUUGGCGGGCGGCCUCCGUGUGCCAAAAAUAGGCCACCGGCACAGCCGCGCCCAAAAAACAACCCCCGAUGUUCGGGGUCCCAAGACCCCCAGCGGAAAAAUGGCCAAAAAACGGUGGGCUAAAGCCUUGGUGGGGUGCGUGGGCGAAGUUCGUCCGCGGGACUCGGAAUGGCACCAGACUUGGCGGGCGGCCUCCGUGUGCCAAAAAUAGGCCACGGGCACAGCCGCGCCCAAAAAACAGCCCCCGAAGUUCGGGGUCCCAAGACCCCCCAGCGGAAAAAUGGCCAAAAAAUGGGUGGGCUAUAGCCUUGGUGGGGGGCGUGGGCGAAGUUCGUCCGCGGGACUCGGAAUGGCACCAGACUUGGCGGGCGGCCUCCGUGUGCCAAAAAUAGGCCACGGGCACAGCCGCGCCCAAAAAACAGCCCCCGAAGUUCGGGGUCCCAAGACCCCCCAGCGGAAAAAUGGCCAAAAAACGGGUGGGCUAUAGCCUUGGUGGGGGGCGUGGGCGAAGUUCGUCCGUGGGACUCGGAAUGGCACCAGACUUGGCGGGCGGCCUCCGUGUGCCAAAAAUAGGCCACGGGCACAGCCGCGCCCAAAAAACAACCCCCGAAGUUCGGGGUCCCAAGACCCCCCAGCGGAAAAAUGGCCAAAAAACGGUGGGCUAUAGCCUUGGUGGGGUGCGUGGGCGAAGUUCGUCCGCGGGACUCGGAAUGGCACCAGACUUGGCGGGCGGCCUCCGUGUGCCAAAAAUAGGCCACGGGCACAGCCGGGCCCAAAAAACAGCCCCCGAAGUUCGGGGUCCCAAGACCCCCCAGCGGAAAAAUGGCCAAAAAACGGGUGGGCUAUAGCCUUGGUGGGGGGCGUGGGCGAAGUUCGUCCGCGGGACUCGGAAUGGCACCAGACUUGGCGGGCGGCCUCCGUGUGUCAAAAAUAGGCCACGGGCACAGCCGCGCCCAAAAAACCGCCCCCGAAGUUCGGGGUCCCAAGACCCCCCAGCGGAAAAAUGGCCAAAAAACGGGUCAGCUAUAGCCUUGGUGGGGGGCGUGGGCGAAGUUCGUCCGCGGGACUCGGAAUGGCACCAGACUUGGCGGGCGGCCUCCGUGUGCCAAAAAUAGGCCACGGGCACAGCCGCGCCCAAAAAACAACCCCCGAAGUUUGGGGUCCCAAGACCCCCCAGCGGAAAAAUGGCCAAAAAACGGUGGGCUAAAGCCUUGGUGGGGUGCGUGGGCGAAGUUCGUCCGCGGGACUCGGAAUGGCACCAGACUUGGCGGGCGGCCUCCGUGUGCCAAAAAUAGGCCACGGGCACAGCCGCGCCCAAUAAACAGCCCCCGAAGUUCGGGGUCCCAAGACCCCCCAGCGGAAAAAUGGCCAAAAAACGGUGGGCUAUAGCCUUGGUGGGGGGCGUGGGCGAAGUUCGUCCGCGGGACUCGGAAUGGCACCAGACUUGGCGGGCGGCCUCCGUGUGCCAAAAAUAGGCCACGGGCACAGCCGCGCCCAAAAAACAACCCCCGAAGUUCGGGGUCCCAAGACCCCCCAGCGGAAAAAUGGCCAAAAAACGGUGGGCUAUAGCCUUGGUGGGGUGCAUGGGCGAAGUUCGUCCGCGGGACUCGGAAUGGCACCAGACUUGGCGGGCGGCCUCCGUGUGCCAAAAAUAGGCCACGGGCACAGCCGCGCCCAAAAAACAGCCCCCGAAGUUCGGGGUCCCAAGACCCCCCAGCGGAAAAAUGGCCAAAAAACAGUGGGCUAUAGCCUUGGUGGGGUGCGUGGGCGAAGUUCGUCCGCGGGACAAGGAAUGGCACCAGACUUGGCGGGCGGCCUCCGUGUGCCAAAAAUAGGCCACGGGCACAGCCGCGCCCAAAAAACAGCCCCCGAAGUUCGGGGUCCCAAGACCCCCCAGCGGAAAAAUGGCCAAAAAACGGGUGGGCUAUAGCCUUGGUGGGGGGCGUGGGCGAAGUUCGUCCGCGGGACUCGGAAUGGCACCAGACUUGGCGGGCGGCCUCCGUGUGCCAAAAAUAGGCCACGGGCACAGCCGCGCCGAAAAAACAGCCCCCGAAGUUCGGGGUCCCAAGACCCCCCAGCGGAAAAAUGGCCAAAAAACGGGUGGGCUAUAGCCUUGGUGGGGGGCGUGGGCGAAGUUCGUCCGCGGGACUCGGAAUGGCACCAGACUUGGCGGGCGGCCUCCGUGUGCCAAAAAUAGGCCACGGGCACAGCCGCGUCCAAAAAACAGCCCCCGAAGUUCGGGGUCCCAAGAUCCCCCAGCGGAAAAAUGGCCAAAAAACGGUGGGCUAUAGCCUUGGUGGGGGGCGUGGGCGAAGUUCGUCCGCGGGACUCGGAAUGGCACCAGACUUGGCGGGCGGCCUCCGUGUGCCAAAUAUAGGCCAGGGGCACAGCCGCGCCCAUAAAAACAACCCCCGAAGUUCGGGGUCCCAAGACCCCCCAGCGGAAAAAUGGCCAAAAAACGGUGGGCUAAAGCCUUGGUGGGGUGCGUGGGCGAAGUUCGUCCGCGGGACUCGGAAUGGCACCAGACUUGGCGGGCGGCCUCCGUGUGCCAAAAAUAGGCCACGGGCACAGCCGCGCCCAAAAAACAGCCCCCGAAGUUCGGGGUCCCAAGACCCCCCAGCGGAAAAAUGGCCAAAAAACGGGUGGGCUAUAGCCUUGUUGGGGGGCGUGGGCGAAGUUCGUCCGCGGGACUUGGAAUGGCACCAGACAUGGCGGGCGGCCUCCGUGUGCCAAAAAUAGGCCACGGGCACAGCCGCGCCCAAAAAACAGCCCCCGAAUUUCGGGGUCCCAAGACCCCCCAGCGGAAAAAUGGCCAAAAAACGGGUGAGCUAUAGCCUUGGUGGGGGGCGUGGGCGAAGUUCGUCCGCGGGACUCGGAAGUGCACCAGACUUGGCGGGCGGCCUCCGUGUGCCAAAAAUAGGCCACGGGCACAGCCGCGCCCAAAAAACAGUCCCCAAAGUUCGGGGUCCCAAGACCCCCCAGCGGAAAAAUGGCCAAAAAACGGGAGGGCUAUAGCCUUGGAGGGGGGCGUGGGCGAAGUUCGUCCGCGGGACUCGGAAUGGCACCAGACUUGGCGGGCGGCCUCCGUGUGCCAAAAAUAGGCCACGGGCACAAUCGCGCCCAAAAAACAGCCCCCGAAGUUCGGGGUCCCAAGACCCCCCAGCGGAAAAAUGGCCAAAAAACGGGUGGGCUAUAGCCUUGGUGGGGGGCGUGGGCGAAGUUCGUCCGCGGGACUCGGAAUGGCACCAGACUUGGCGGGCGGCCUCCGUGUGCCAAAAAUAGGCCACGGGCACAGCCGCGCCAAAAAAACAGCCCCCGAAGUUCGGGGUCCCAAGACCCCCCAGCGGAAAAAUGGCCAAAAAACGGGUGGGCUAUAGCCUUGGUGGGGGGCGUGGGCGAAGUUCGUCCGCGGGACUCGGAAUGGCACCAGACUUGGCGGGCGGCCUCCGUGUGCCAAAAAUAGGCCACGGGCACAGCCGCGCCCAAAAAACAGCCCCCGAAGUUCGGGGUCCCAAGACCCCCUAGCGGAAAAAUGGCCAAAAAACGGGUGGGCUAUAGCCUUGGUGGGGGGCGUGGGCGAAGUUCGUCCGCGGGACUCGGAAUGGCACCAGACUUGGCGGGCGGCCUCCGUGUGCCAAAAAUAGGCCACGGGCACAGCCGCGCCCAAAAAACAACCCCCGAAGUUCGGGGUCCCAAGACCCCCCAGCGGAAAAAUGGCCAAAAAACGGUGGGCUAUAGCCUUGGUGGGGUGCGUGGGCGAAGUUCGUCCGCGGGACUCGGAAUGGCACCAGACUUGGCGGGCGGCCUCCGUGUGCCAAAAAUAGGCCACGGGCACAGCCGCGCCCAAAAAACAACCCCCGAAGUUCGGGGUCCCAAGACCCCCCAGCGGAAAAAUGGCCAAAAAACGGUGGGCUAUAGCCUUGGUGGGGUGCGUGGGCGAAGUUCGUCCGCGGGACUCGGAAUGGCACCAGACUUGGCGGGCGGCCUCCGUGUGCCAAAAAUAGGCCACGGGCACAGCCGCGCCCAAAAAACAGACCCCGAAGUUCGGGGUCCCAAGACCCCCCAGCGGAAAAAUGGCCAAAAAACGGUGGGCUAUAGC
This 7094-nucleotide long non-coding RNA is filed under the name Citrus x clementina. Its description in RNAcentral is "Citrus clementina (C. clementina) long non-coding RNA (CCLE_LNC003192)". Lineage: Eukaryota; Viridiplantae; Streptophyta; Magnoliopsida; Sapindales; Rutaceae. The record is from RNAcentral.